RNAcentral lists this ribosomal RNA (513 nucleotides) under uncultured bacterium. Its description in RNAcentral is "partial 16S ribosomal RNA". It matches the Rfam family "Bacterial small subunit ribosomal RNA", at positions 28 to 523 of the family's 1533-position model. The record is from RNAcentral.
GACGAACACUGGCGGCGUGCCUAAUACAUGCAAGUAGAACGCUGAAGAGAGGAGCUUGCUCUUCUUGGAAGAGUUGCGAACGGGUGAGUAACGCGUAGGUAACCUGCCUUGUAGCGGGGGAUAACUAUUGGAAACGAUAGCUAAUACCGCAUAACAAUGGAUGACCCAUGUCAUUUAUUUGAAAGGGGCAACUGCUCCACUACAAGAUGGACCUGCGUUGUAUUAGCUAGUAGGUGAGGUAACGGCUCACCUAGGCGCGGAUACAUAGCCGACCUCUGAGGGUGAUCGGCCACACUGGGACUGAGACACGGCCCAGACUCCUACGGGAGGCAGCAGUAGGGAAUCUUCGGCAAUGGGGGCAACCCUGACCGAGCAACGCCGCGUGAGGGAAGAAGGUUUUCGGAUCGUAAAGCUCUGUUGUAAGUCAAGAACGAGUGUGAGAGUGGAAAGUUCACACUGUGACGGUAGCUUACCAGAAAGGGACGGCUAACUACGUGCCAGCAGCAGCCGCAG